CUUGAGCUAACUUUAAUCUGAUUAAUGGAAUGGGCUAUUAAAGCUUUAGAAAAGAGGACCAUAUUUUAUUAGGGUUUGGUUUGUUUUCCCGGUUGACAUGCAGAGUAUAAUCGGCUUGACUCUCCAGAUCUCACUUCUCCUACCUUCGUCUGUAUAAUGGCUUGACUUACUGACUAUCCUCUUUCAGAUACAUUAAUCUUUGCAUUUACGUGUUUAUAAAUGGGAUCGUAGCCUGCGAUUAUCAGACCCACCACUCUUAACAAUGGGCUUCUAUCGGAGGUCUCCCUGAUUCACGCUUUCAUACCAAAGUCGAGGGAUUCUUCGUCUUUCCAAAUCGAGUGGAUUCUAUCUCCCAAAUACACCGACUUAUGAUCCAUAUGGGAUUUUCUAAGUUCGUGGCCUGCCUUCUUAUUUGAGUGUAUUUAAGGUUGUCGCACCUGUUAGAAUGACAUUCUAAAUCCCUUUUGGAUACGUGACAUGUAUGAUACCUAUAAGCACGUUCUUUGCAUCCAUCCUCUGGUCUAUAAAUACUGCAUAUUUGGACAUUUCAAUUGCCUUCAUACAGAUUUUCAAAGGACACCACUCUCUUUCUGCUCAAAGCCUAUUUUAUAACUGUUGCAUUGAAUGUUGAUGCAAAGCUGCCAACGAUGUCGCUUAUCGCUUCAGACUCCAGCUUCUUGCCCGGUGUGAAAGAGCUCCAUUGGUCUCAACAACGAGAACACCACAGGUUUCCCUGAUGCUACAACUGAUGAAGCAAGCACAAUGGACUCAACACCACUACCUUGUCAAGCGGAGACAGUGAUAAGCAUUGACAGCAGAGCAAGUGAUUUCACGUGGAAACAACAACAAUGCAGAAAGAGUAUUAGCUAAUCAUCAACAUCAUGAAGUGAAAUAAAGGUUUGGGGAUGCUUAGUGUUAGAGUGAGAUGCAAGUCGUGUAACUCCAAUCUCUGUUUAUGUUAUUGUUUACUUUACUUUAUAAAAACCAUGCUGGAUUCUAUCAAGAAAACUUUUAAAAAUUGAUUUAUUGUUUACUUUA
Brassica napus (rape) is the source of this 1038-nucleotide long non-coding RNA. RefSeq lists it as uncharacterized. NCBI's taxonomy places the organism in Eukaryota, Viridiplantae, Streptophyta, Magnoliopsida, Brassicales, Brassicaceae. The record is from RefSeq and is a predicted model, not a curated record. The transcript is spliced from 6 exons.